Molecule: small nucleolar RNA, 107 nt
Filed under: Meriones unguiculatus (Mongolian gerbil)
Lineage: Eukaryota; Metazoa; Chordata; Mammalia; Rodentia; Muridae
Description: Small nucleolar RNA SNORA17 (ENSMUGG00000024210.1)
Rfam family: Small nucleolar RNA SNORA17
About the family: snoRNA ACA 17 belongs to the H/ACA family of snoRNAs and is predicted to guide pseudouridylation of the 28S rRNA at positions U4659 and U4598. It shares the same host gene together with ACA43.
Source: RNAcentral
CCUGCCCCUACAGGCAUUGCAGGCAUGGUUAUUGUGUCACACGUGUCUGUAGGCAGCAGGGAGGAGAGAAGGGUUCUGACCCGUGAACAUCUGAAUGAUUAGUCAUG